UUUCCGUAGUAAAUACAUAUUACAUUACCUUUUCGUGGUAAAAUUGGCUUUUGCCCGUAAAU
RNAcentral lists this transfer RNA (62 nucleotides) under Cepaea nemoralis (banded wood snail). RNAcentral's name for it is "tRNA-Glu". The record is from RNAcentral. Lineage: Eukaryota; Metazoa; Mollusca; Gastropoda; Stylommatophora; Helicidae.